Molecule: ribosomal RNA, 372 nt
Filed under: uncultured bacterium
Lineage: Bacteria
Description: bacterial SSU rRNA
Rfam family: Bacterial small subunit ribosomal RNA
Source: RNAcentral
UACGUAGGGGGCAAGCGUUAUCCGGAUUUAUUGGGUGUAAAGGGCGCGUAGACGGAGUUGUAAGUCAGAUGUGAAAGGUUGGGGCUCAACCCCAAGAGUGCAUCUGAAACUACAACCCUUGAGUGCAGGAGAGGAAAGUGGAAUUCCUAGUGUAGAGGUAAAAUUCGUAGAUAUUAGGAGGAACACCAGUGGCGAAGGCGGCUUUCUGGACUGUAACUGACGUUGAGGCGCGAAAGCGUGGGGAGCAAACAGGAUUAGAUACCCUGGUAGUCCACGCUGUAAACGAUGGAUACUAGGUGUGAGGUAGCAAUACUUCGUGCCGACGCUAACGCAGUAAGUAUCCCACCUGGGGAGUACGAUCGCAAGGUUGAA